CAGAAGCACCCGACAGGUUAGGCAGUCUCUGUGGUACCCUGGGGCCUUGGCCUCCAUGUGGCCUCUCCAGCACAUUUCCGUGGCUUCUGUGUCAGUGGUUUCUUUCCUCUGCUUGGCUCCCCAUGGUUUCAAGUCUACCAGGGCAGGUGUGGAAACUGCCCAUUUGGCCCUGAUCCUGAGUGACUGGUGGUUCUGGCCAGUAUCCAGGUAUCUCAGCAUUGGCAAGGCGGCCUUGAGGUGUGGAGGUCACCCGGAUUCUCACAGACUCCACUCCAGGAAUGGAUCAAUGAGAUUAUACUAAAUGGGCUCUGGCUUGAUUUCAGGACCACCCCAGGACAAUUCAGGGGAAGCUUUAAAGGAACCAGAAAGGGCCCAGGAGCACUCUUUGCCCAACUUUGCUGGGGGGCAGCACUUCUUUGAAUACCUUCUUGUGGUUUCUCUCAAAAAGAAGCGUUCAGAGGAUGAUUACGAGCCUAUAAUCACCUACCAAUUUCCCAAGCGGGAGAACCUGCUUCGGGGUCAGCAGGAGGAGGAGGAGCGGCUGCUCAAAGCUAUCCCCUUGUUCUGCUUCCCAGAUGGGAAUGAGUGGGCAUCACUCACCGAGUAUCCCAGGGAGACCUUCUCCUUCGUUCUGACCAAUGUGGAUGGGAGCAGAAAGAUUGGAUACUGCAGGCGCCUCUUGCCUGCCGGCCCUGGCCCUCGCCUUCCCAAAGUGUACUGCAUCAUCAGCUGCAUCGGCUGCUUCGGCUUGUUCUCCAAGAUCCUGGAUGAAGUGGAGAAGAGACAUCAGAUCUCCAUGGCUGUCAUCUACCCGUUCAUGCAGGGCCUCCGAGAGGCAGCCUUCCCU
This 847-nucleotide small RNA is filed under the name Pan troglodytes (chimpanzee). Its description in RNAcentral is "processed transcript". Lineage: Eukaryota; Metazoa; Chordata; Mammalia; Primates; Hominidae. The record is from RNAcentral.